UUCAAUCUGGUCAGGAAGAGGAUGGGCAGCAUCAACCUCCACAAGCACUCGAGCAUAAGAGAUCUUCUCAUAGUGAGCAGUGAAUUUAUCAGUAUACAAGGGAUUGCCCACGGCACUAGCCAUCUUGCUCAAUGCAUCAGUAGACCAGUAACCCACAGGUAGUCCAGGAAAUCUUAUCCAUACAGGAAUGGUGCUUACAAU
This 201-nucleotide long non-coding RNA is filed under the name Nicotiana benthamiana. RNAcentral's name for it is "long non-coding RNA (NBEN_LNC014497)". Lineage: Eukaryota; Viridiplantae; Streptophyta; Magnoliopsida; Solanales; Solanaceae. The record is from RNAcentral.